Molecule: ribosomal RNA, 465 nt
Filed under: uncultured Klebsiella sp.
Lineage: Bacteria; Pseudomonadati; Pseudomonadota; Gammaproteobacteria; Enterobacterales; Enterobacteriaceae
Description: bacterial SSU rRNA
Rfam family: Bacterial small subunit ribosomal RNA
Source: RNAcentral
CCUACGGGCGGCAGCAGUGGGGAAUAUUGCACAAUGGGCGCAAGCCUGAUGCAGCCAUGCCGCGUGUGUGAAGAAGGCCUUCGGGUUGUAAAGCACUUUCAGCGGGGAGGAAGGCGGUGAGGUUAAUAACCUCAUCGAUUGACGUUACCCGCAGAAGAAGCACCGGCUAACUCCGUGCCAGCAGCCGCGGUAAUACGGAGGGUGCAAGCGUUAAUCGGAAUUACUGGGCGUAAAGCGCACGCAGGCGGUCUGUCAAGUCGGAUGUGAAAUCCCCGGGCUCAACCUGGGAACUGCAUUCGAAACUGGCAGGCUAGAGUCUUGUAGAGGGGGGUAGAAUUCCAGGGGUAGCGGGGAAAUGCGUAGAGAUCUGGAGGAAUACCGGUGGCGAAGGCGGCCCCCUGGACAAAGACUGACGCUCAGGUGCGAAAGCGUGGGGAGCAAACAGGAUUAGAUACCCCGGUAAUC